GAGUUUGAUCAUGGCUCAGAUUGAACGCUGGCGGAAUGCUUUACACAUGCAAGUCGAACGGCAGCACGGGGGCAACCCUGGUGGCGAGUGGCGAACGGGUGAGUAAUACAUCGGAACGUGCCCAGUCGUGGGGGAUAACGUAGCGAAAGCUACGCUAAUACCGCAUACGAUCUCUGGAUGAAAGCGGGGGACCGCAAGGCCUCGCGCGAUUGGAGCGGCCGAUGGCAGAUUAGGUAGUUGGUGGGGUAAAGGCUCACCAAGCCGACGAUCUGUAGCUGGUCUGAGAGGACGACCAGCCACACUGGGACUGAGACACGGCCCAGACUCCUACGGGAGGCAGCAGUGGGGAAUUUUGGACAAUGGGCGCAAGCCUGAUCCAGCCAUUCCGCGUGCAGGAUGAAGGCCCUCGGGUUGUAAACUG
Molecule: ribosomal RNA, 421 nt
Filed under: uncultured beta proteobacterium
Lineage: Bacteria; Pseudomonadati; Pseudomonadota; Betaproteobacteria
Description: bacterial SSU rRNA
Rfam family: Bacterial small subunit ribosomal RNA
Source: RNAcentral